Molecule: ribosomal RNA, 108 nt
Filed under: Amborella trichopoda
Lineage: Eukaryota; Viridiplantae; Streptophyta; Magnoliopsida; Amborellales; Amborellaceae
Source: RNAcentral
GUGUAUGGUUAUACCACCACUAAUGUAAUGGAUCCCAUCCGAACUCCGAAAUUAAGAGUAUCUUGCCACGAGUAGUAUUAGGAUGGUAGGGCGCAUCAUUGAUUCACC